CUCCUCUCAGAUUCGCACCUGGAGAGUUUCCAGUACUCUACCAGUCUGUACUACAGGAGGGAGAGUCAAGCAGAGGCCUGUCCAUUCCAUUCCUAGCUUGGUCAGUGGCUAGCGAUUGGCAGGAAAUCUGCUACAAGU
Small nucleolar RNA from Tachyglossus aculeatus (Australian echidna), 138 nucleotides. Lineage: Eukaryota; Metazoa; Chordata; Mammalia; Monotremata; Tachyglossidae. The record is from RefSeq and is a predicted model, not a curated record.